This is a long non-coding RNA of Sapajus apella (tufted capuchin), 1614 nucleotides long. RefSeq lists it as uncharacterized. The transcript has 2 exons. Lineage: Eukaryota; Metazoa; Chordata; Mammalia; Primates; Cebidae. The record is from RefSeq and is a predicted model, not a curated record.
GACACUUGUGCAAAUUCAGUGUUUUGUAUUACUGUCUAUAUUCCAACAAUAAAGGUAGGAAUAAUUAGCAUAUGUUUAUGGUUGAGGCAGAGAGUAACUUUUAUGAUCUUAUAAAAUCAUUUAAAUAAAUAAUUUAUAAAUAUUAAGGAUGACGUUCACUAAUCCUUUUAUUAUCAGCAGAAACUUUUUUUAUCCAAAGAGGGAAAAGAGUAGAGAGAGGAGAAGAAACAAAAUAUAGAGAAGGAUGGAAUGUGUGAGCAAAGAUUGGAGCUAGAGAAGUAGAAGAAAGAAAUUCAUUUUUAUCACUUCAGUGAAAAUGAAGACAGAUUAGGUACCCUUCUACUAGUCUUCCUCAAUCUGCUACUCUGAGAGGGCCUUGCUUCUACCUCUGAGAGGGAAAGUUUCUUGAACUGAUUCUAUAUAGAAAUAUAGUGAGUUUAUUACAUUCAUUUAUUACAUUCAUUUAGUAUCUCUAAGUAAUAUCACAUGGUAAUGAAAUAUGUAUAGAGAAACACCACAGUUGCAUAUUCAGAUAUUGAACUCAACAGAGAGGUCUGGUAAAGAGAUGCUAAUAUGGGAGACUUCCAUCUUGAGAUAACAAUUAAAGCAGAGGAAGUUUAUGAUUCUGUUCAAAGAAAGGUAUAAAGGCAGAGGAAAGAAUGUUUAGGUAGAAGGGUAGAAUAAGAAGAUGGGUGUUCAUUUAUUAAACAAUUAUGAAAUUCCUUUUACAUGCCAGGUACUAUGCCAGUAUCUGGGAGAUUCAGUGAUACGUAACACAUGAUACCUACCCUAAAGAGCUCACUGUCUAGUAAGAUUGACAAAUAUAUAAACAAAUAAUUUCAGUAUUUUGGAAUAAGAAGCAUAAUAUUAUGGAAAUAAGAGGUAGGUAUGGUAGGCCAGGGUGAAGGUGGGGGCAGUUAAUAAACUCUGGUGGGCCCAAAGAAAGCUUCACAGAGUAGGCAGUGCUUGAGCUGCUAGGGUAUAUCCAAGAUUGUGGUAUAUCACCGAAUAAUGUUAAACAGGGAAAAUUAUCAAAAUCUAUGUUGCAGGAAGCUCACUCUGAUGUCAUGUGAAGAUGCAUUUGAGAAGUGAGAGACUUUUAAAGUCAAAGAGACUUUAAAAGACAAGGCAAGAGAUAUUGAAGAUGAAGGAGCUGAGUAGAUAGAUAUGAGGGAUGUUAAAAUUGGAGAAUCUGGGAUCUAGUGACCACUCGAAGCAUUAGAAGUGGGCAGUAUGAGAAAGAGAAAAAUACAGGCUAUUUUUAGGUUGCUGGUUUGAGUGACUGCUGGAUGAUUGCAUUAUGAAUCAAAAUUGACAAUUUAGGAAAAAAACUUAAUUUUUGUUUUGGAAAUGUCAUAGAAUAUCCAGGCAUAGGUUUCUGGUAGGCUUUUGUAUCUAUAGGUCUGGAUUUAGACACUGAAAUCCAUACUAGGGCUGUAGUUUUGAGAAUUGACAGUACUGAUUAAGGUGUACAAACCCUGUACAUUGACAGAGUUUAUAUAGAGUGAGAACAAGAUGAAAGAUACCCUGGGAGAUAAAGAACAGGUAGAUUAGCUUUUGAAAGAUAUUGAGAAGUGACUUAAAAAAUAUUAGAGAAUCAGGAAAGUAUAGUAA